GCACUGCUGAUGAGUACCAAACAGGACGAAACAGCUGUCCAGUGC
Molecule: non-coding RNA, 45 nt
Filed under: Echinostoma caproni
Lineage: Eukaryota; Metazoa; Platyhelminthes; Trematoda; Plagiorchiida; Echinostomatidae
Source: RNAcentral